Danio rerio (zebrafish) is the source of this 390-nucleotide non-coding RNA. The record is from the annotation of a RefSeq genome assembly. NCBI's taxonomy places the organism in Eukaryota, Metazoa, Chordata, Actinopteri, Cypriniformes, Danionidae.
AUGAUCCUCUUCUGCUUUGUUUUAGCACUGGUCUUGGAUUUUGGAAACGCUAAUGAGAACUCUAUCAGACCAGAUGAAGAGUUUGUGUCUUUAAACGAAGGCAGUAACACCACCCUGUCCUGUACAUUUGAUGGAUCUGCUUAUCGCCUCCACUGGUAUCGACAGAAAACUGGAUCGUUGUUAGAGUUUCUAGUGCUGAUUGAUAAAUCUACCAAAGUUGUAGUGACCGCUUCUCCUCCGCAUCCGCACGUGUCUAUUAAUCUCCAUGAUAACCGUGUGGAUUUGGAGAUCACUCCUGCUGCAGUGUCAGACUCUGCUGUGUAUUACUGUGCUCUGCAGCCCACAGUGACAGGAAAGCUUGUAACACAGCACAAAAAAGAUUUUAUAUGA